AAAAAAUGAUUCUAUUAAUAUAUAAAGAUAACUUUUCUUAUAAAUACGUCUGAUUUAAGAUGUUGACCUUUUAAGAUACAAAAAAGUAUUCAUAGAAGUAUCAUUACCCAAAUCAAUAUAUACAUACAUAGAUAUUUAAUUUAAAUACGACUAUUAAAUUUAGUCUAACAAUUCGACAUGCUAUAAUAGGCUAACUGUUGUUGAUGAUUAAUUGCAAGUAAUUAAGCCAGGUGAUAGACAGUAUAUAAAUACGAUAAAGUGAAAUGUAUUAAACGUAAUGAAUAAACAAAUACAAUAUCGAAAAAGAUAGCAGGUAGUCCGUUUUUGCCUACACCAAGAGGCACUUGGCACACCGGAAAUUUUAAAACAUUAAAAAGACCCCAAUAACCAAAAUUAAAUGGUCUUAAGUAAGCUGUAUAAUGAUAACCAGUUUGAAAAGGUGAAGAUGGAUAAAUUAGUAUCCCAUUAUGCUCCAAUUUAUCCUAAAAAUAAAAGUAUAAUUGCA
Molecule: long non-coding RNA, 505 nt
Organism: Bombus impatiens (common eastern bumble bee)
Lineage: Eukaryota; Metazoa; Arthropoda; Insecta; Hymenoptera; Apidae
Exons: 2
Source: RefSeq, a predicted model, not a curated record